GAUUAAGAUACUAAGAGUAUGUGGGGAAUGCCUUGGCACAGAUAGGCGAAGAAGGACGUAGCAGGCUGCGAUAAGCCUCGGGGAGCCGCCAAGCGGGCUUAGAUCCGAGGAUAUCCGAAUGGGGAAACCUUAUACGGUAAACCCGUAUAGUCCAUGAAUGAAUUCAUAGUUCAUGGUCGCCAACUCAGGGAAGUGAAACAUCUCAGUACCUGAAGGAAAAGAAAACAAAAGUGAUUCCCUAAGUAGUGGUGAGCGAAAGGGGAAGAGCCUAAACCGAGAUGUAUGUAAGGCUGCAACCGUUGUACAUCCGGUGUCGAGGGACCUGAUAGACCAAGUGCAGUGAGGUCAAAAGGUUACAAACUGUUUGAUUAGCAGAACAUGUCUGGAAUGGCAGGCCAAAGAAGGUGAAAGCCCGGUAUGCAAAAAUCAAACAGCCUUUUUCAGGUAUCCCAAGUACCACGGGACACGGGAAAUCCUGUGGGAAUCUGGGAGGACCACCUCCUAAGGCUAAAUACUCAUCUGUGACCGAUAGUGAACUAGUACCGUGAGGGAAAGGGGAAAAG
Molecule: ribosomal RNA, 563 nt
Filed under: Caldifarciminota bacterium
Lineage: Bacteria; Pseudomonadati; Caldifarciminota
Description: bacterial LSU rRNA
Rfam family: Bacterial large subunit ribosomal RNA
Source: RNAcentral